GAUGAACGCUGGCGGCGUGCCUAAUACAUGCAAGUCGAGCGAAUGGAUUAAGAGCUUGCUCUUAUGAAGUUAGCGGCGGACGGGUGAGUAACACGUGGGUAACCUGCCCAUAAGACUGGGAUAACUCCGGGAAACCGGGGCUAAUACCGGAUAACAUUUUGAACCGCAUGGUUCGAAAUUGAAAGGCGGCUUCGGCUGUCACUUAUGGAUGGACCCGCGUCGCAUUGGCUAGUUGGUGAGGUAACGGCUCACCAAGGCAACGAUGCGGAGCCGACCUGAGAGGGUGAUCGGCCACGCUGGGACUGAGACACGGGCCAGGCUCCUACGGGAGGCAACAGUAGGGAAUCUUCCGCAAUGGACGAAAGUCUGACGGAGCAACGCCGCGUGAGUGACGAAGGCUUUCGGGUCGUAAAACUCUGUUGUUAGGGAAGAACAAGUGCUAGUUGAAUAAGCUGACACCUUGACGGUACCUAACCAGAAAGCCACGGCUAACUACGUGCCAGCCGCCGCAGUAA
This 515-nucleotide ribosomal RNA is filed under the name uncultured bacterium. RNAcentral describes it as "partial 16S ribosomal RNA". It matches the Rfam family "Bacterial small subunit ribosomal RNA", at positions 28 to 523 of the family's 1533-position model. The record is from RNAcentral.